RNAcentral lists this ribosomal RNA (279 nucleotides) under uncultured bacterium. RNAcentral describes it as "partial 16S ribosomal RNA". It matches the Rfam family "Bacterial small subunit ribosomal RNA", at positions 506 to 784 of the family's 1533-position model. The record is from RNAcentral.
UGCCAGCCGCCGCGGUAAGACGGAGGGUGCAAGCGUUGUUCGGAAUCACUGGGCAUAAAGCGCACGUAGGCGGCUUCGCCAGUCUGAUGUGAAAGCCCUCGGCUCAACCGGGGAACAGCAUUGGAUACUGCGAGGCUUGAGGACGGUUGGGGUGAGUGGAACUCCUGGUGGAGCGGUGAAAUGCGUAGAUAUCAGGAGGAACACCGGUGGCGAAAGCGGCUCACUGGACCGUCUCUGACGCCGAGGUGCGAAAGCUAGGGGAGCGAACGGGAUUAGAUA